RNAcentral lists this ribosomal RNA (1385 nucleotides) under uncultured prokaryote. Its description in RNAcentral is "partial 16S ribosomal RNA". It matches the Rfam family "Bacterial small subunit ribosomal RNA". The record is from RNAcentral.
AGAGUUUGAUCCUGGCUCAGGAUGAACGCUAGCGGCAGGCUUAACACAUGCAAGUCGAGGGGUAACGAUGGUUUCGGCCAGGCGACGACCGGCGCACGGGGGAGUAACGCGCGCGUAUGCAACCUACCAUUAACUGGGGGAUAGCCCGAAGAAAUUCGGAUUAAUACCCCAUAACACUGAGAUGUCACCUGGCAUUUUAGUUAAAGCUCCGGCGGUUUUUGAUGGGCAUGCGUGACAUUAGAUUGUUGGUAAGGUAACGGCUUACCAAGUCUACGAUGUCUAGGGGGUCUGAGAGGAUGGUCCCCCACACUGGUACUGAGACACGGACCAGACUCCUACGGGAGGCAGCAGUGAGGAAUAUUGGUCAAUGGGCGCAAGCCUGAACCAGCCAUGCCGCGUGCAGGAUGAAUGCCCUAUGGGUUGUAAACUGCUUUUAUAUGGGAAGAAACCUCCGGACGUGUUCGGAGCUGACGGUACCGUAAGAAUAAGCACCGGCUAACUCCGUGCCAGCAGCCGCGGUAAUACGGAGGGUGCAGGCGUUAUCCGGAUUUAUUGGGUUUAAAGGGUGCGCAGGCGGGCUAUUAAGUCAGCGGUGAAAUCCUACAGCUUAACUGUAGAACUGCCGUUGAUACUGAUAGUCUUGAGUUUGGUUGAGGUAGGCGGAAUGUGUCAUGUAGCGGUGAAAUGCUUAGAUAUGACACAGAACACCGAUUGCGAAGGCAGCUUACUAAACCAAUACUGACGCUGAGGCACGAAAGCGUGGGGAGCGAACAGGAUUAGAUACCCUGGUAGUCCACGCCGUAAACGAUGAUCACUCGUUGUUGGCGAUACACAGUCAGCGACUGAGCGAAAGCAUUAAGUGAUCCACCUGGGGAGUACGGUCGCAAGAUUGAAACUCAAAGGAAUUGACGGGGGCCCGCACAAGCGGAGGAACAUGUGGUUUAAUUCGAUGAUACGCGAGGAACCUUACCUGGGCUUAAAUGUAGAGUGCAUAAACGGGAAAAUGUUUUUUAAUUCGGGACUAUUUAAGGUGCUGCAUGGUUGUCGUCAGCUCGUGCCGUGAGGUGUCGGGUUAAGUCCCAUAACGAGCGCAACCCCUAUCGUUAGUUGCCAUCGGGUCAUGCCGGGGACUCUAAUGAGACUGCCAGUGUAAACUGUGAGGAAGGUGGGGAUGACGUCAAAUCAGCACGGCCCUUAUGUCCAGGGCUACACACGUGUUACAAUGGUCGAUACAAAGGGCAGCUACCUGGUGACAGGAUGCUAAUCUCUAAAGUCGAUCUCAGUUCGGAUCGAAGUCUGCAACUCGACUUCGUGAAGUUGGAUUCCCUAGUAAUCGCGCAUCAGCCACGGCGCGGUGAAUACGUUCCCGGGCCUUGUACACACCG